AGCUGGUGGGAAGGUAGUGAGUUAUCUCAAUUGAUUGUUCACAGUCAGUUAUGGAUUGAACUCCUUGUUCUACUCUCUCCCUCCUUCUCACUACUGUACUUGACUAGUCUUGG
Molecule: Y RNA, 113 nt
Filed under: Prolemur simus (greater bamboo lemur)
Lineage: Eukaryota; Metazoa; Chordata; Mammalia; Primates; Lemuridae
Description: Y RNA (ENSPSMG00000018381.1)
Rfam family: Y RNA
About the family: Y RNAs are components of the Ro ribonucleoprotein particle (Ro RNP), in association with Ro60 and La proteins. The Y RNAs and Ro60 and La proteins are well conserved, but the function of the Ro RNP is not known. In humans the RNA component can be one of four small RNAs -- hY1, hY3, hY4 and hY5.
Source: Rfam by way of RNAcentral